AACGAACGCUGGCGGCAUGCCUAACACAUGCAAGUCCAACGAGAUCUUCGGGUCUAGUGGCGCACGGGUGCGUAACGCGUGGGAAUCUGCCCUUUGGUUCGGAAUAACAGUUGGAAACGACUGCUAAUACCGGAUGAUGACGAAAGUCCAAAGAUUUAUCGCCAGAGGAUGAGCCCGCGUAGGAUUAGCUAGUUGGUGUGGUAAAGGCGCACCAAGGCGACGAUCCUUAGCUGGUCUGAGAGGAUGAUCAGCCACACUGGGACUGAGACACGGCCCAGACUCCUAGGGGAGGCAGCAGUGGGGAAUAUUGGACAAUGGGCGAAAGCCUGAUCCAGCAAUGCCGCGUGAGUGAUGAAGGCCUUAGGGUUGUAAAGCUCUUUUACCCGGGAUGAUAACGACAGUACCGGGAGAAUAAGCUCCGGCUAACUCCGUGCCAGCAGCCGCCGUAA
RNAcentral lists this ribosomal RNA (449 nucleotides) under uncultured bacterium. Its description in RNAcentral is "partial 16S ribosomal RNA". It matches the Rfam family "Bacterial small subunit ribosomal RNA", at positions 29 to 523 of the family's 1533-position model. The record is from RNAcentral.